CCUACGGGAGGCAGCAGUAAGGAAUAUUGGUCAAUGGAGGCAACUCUGAACCAGCCAUGCCGCGUGCAGGAAGACGGCCCUAUGGGUUGUAAACUGCUUUUGAACUAGAGAAAACCUUGGUACGUGUACCGAGUUGAUAGUAUAGUUAGAAUAAGCAUCGGCUAACUUCGUGCCAGCAGCCGCGGUAAGACGAAGGAUGCAAGCGUUAUCCGGAUUCAUUGGGUUUAAAGGGUGCGUAGGCGGACUGAUAAGUCAGUGGUGAAAUCUCUCAGCUUAACUGAGAAACUGCCAUUGAUACUGUUAGUCUAGAGUACAGAUGAUGUGGGCGGAAUAUGACAUGUAGUGGUGAAAUACUUAGAUAUGUCAUAGAACACCGAUUGCGAAGGCAGCUCACAAAACUGUAACUGACGCUGAGGCACGAAAGUGCGGGGAUCAAACAGGAUUAGAUACCCUGGUAGUCCGCACCGUAAACGAUGAUUACUCGUUGUUGGCGAUAUGACAGUCAGCGACCAAGCGAAAGCGAUAAGUUAAUUCCACCUUGGGGAGUACGCCGGCACGGUGAACGUUAAUUGAAUUGACGGNNGAGAGNGCGAGGACGACGACGAGGAGAGG
RNAcentral lists this ribosomal RNA (612 nucleotides) under uncultured bacterium. Its description in RNAcentral is "bacterial SSU rRNA". It matches the Rfam family "Bacterial small subunit ribosomal RNA", at positions 338 to 949 of the family's 1533-position model. The record is from RNAcentral.